UACGGAGGGUGCAAGCGUUGUCCGGAUUUAUUGGGUUUAAAGGGUGCGUAGGCGGCUUUAUAAGUCCGUGGUGAAAGCCAACAGCUCAACUGUUGAACUGCCAUGGAUACUGUAAGGCUUGAGUACAGACGAGGUAGGCGGAAUUGAUGGUGUAGCGGUGAAAUGCAUAGAUACCAUCAAGAACACCGAUUGCGAAGGCAGCUUACUAGGCUGUAACUGACGCUGAGGCACGAAAGCGUGGGGAGCGAACAGGAUUAGAAACCCCCGUAGUCC
This 273-nucleotide ribosomal RNA is filed under the name uncultured bacterium. RNAcentral's name for it is "partial 16S ribosomal RNA". It matches the Rfam family "Bacterial small subunit ribosomal RNA", at positions 524 to 796 of the family's 1533-position model. The record is from RNAcentral.